UACAGAGGUCUCAAGCGUUGUUCGGAUUCAUUGGGCGUAAAGGGUGCGUAGGUGGUGAUGCAAGUCUGGUGUGAAAUCUCGGAGCUCAACUCCGAAAUUGCACCGGAUACUGCGUGACUCGAGGACUGUAGAGGAGAUCGGAAUUCACGGUGUAGCAGUGAAAUGCGUAGAUAUCGUGAGGAAGACCAGUUGCGAAGGCGGAUCUCUGGGCAGUUCCUGACACUGAGGCACUAAGGCCAGGGGAGCAAACGGG
Molecule: ribosomal RNA, 253 nt
Filed under: uncultured bacterium
Lineage: Bacteria
Description: partial 16S ribosomal RNA
Rfam family: Bacterial small subunit ribosomal RNA
Source: RNAcentral